Molecule: ribosomal RNA, 237 nt
Filed under: uncultured bacterium
Lineage: Bacteria
Description: partial 16S ribosomal RNA
Rfam family: Bacterial small subunit ribosomal RNA
Source: RNAcentral
CGGGACGGGUGGGUAAUGUCUGGGAAACGUGCCCGAUGGAGGGGGGUAACUACUGGAAACGGUAGCUAAUACCGCAUAACGUCGCAAGACCAAAGAAGGGGGGACCGUUCGGGCCUCUUGCCAUCGGAUGUGCCCAGAUGGGAUUAGCUAGUAGGUGGGGUAACGGCUCACCUAGGCGACGAUCCCUAGCUGGUCUGAGAGGAUGAUCAGCCACACUGGGACUGAGACACGGCCCAG